UGGUUAUGUUCCUUUGAAUGUUCGUUUGAUGUAAAAGGCGAGAUUCCAAAUAUUUGUGACAUUUUUAAACUUGCAGUACUACAUGAAAAAACAAACAAACAAACAAACAAACAAACAAACAAACAAACAGGGUUUAUUCCCAGGAGGAGAACUUCCUAGAUGGUUCAAAUGUGUGUGGUUCCCAAACCAUUCUCACAUUUUAUCUCUAUACUAUAACUUUAUCUGUAUCUUGUUUAAAUAACAACAUUUAAAUACAUGCAUAUUAAAAAAACAAACAAACAAACAACAACAAAAAAAAAAAACAUUGAUAUUCAAUUAAAGGGUUAUGUCUGGAAAUGAUCAGGAAACAUUUGGCCAAAAUAACCAAGUUCUAAAAAUAACAGAGUUGGAAGCUUUUUUUUUCAUUUUCAAUAUUUUAGCCUAAAAUAAAAAAUGAUCAUGUCCAUUCUCCAUGAUUCCUUUUAGAGGCAAAUAAUAAUGUCUAGUUCAUGUUUUGGUUGGCAAAAUCUGGCACUGAACCUAGCAUGAACCAAAGUACCUCUUACAUGAGAUUCACUGUAUUAAUACAAUUUAUGUGUAUAGUGCCAGCUAUGUAUUCAGUGCAUGUUUUGUUUUGUAGCAAAUUGAUAGUUCAGGAGAAAAUAAGCUUAACUUCUAAUUUAAAAUACAUUUAUGACAUGAUUUUACCAAUCUCUCAUUGUCUCAUUAUUUAACACUUCAAAUCACAAAAAGAGAUUGUUCAUAUAACUUGCAAUGCAUCUAUCUGUGCCAUGCCUGGACUUUAAAGUAAAAUGGUACCUUUCUUGAAAAUGGACAAGAUGUGAGAUACCCAAUGUGGUUUUAUGUCAUCUAUAUAAUUUAUUUACAAAGCGAAAGCAAAUUCUGUAGCACUGGAUUUAAUUGUGUUUACUUACUAAGCAUAGAAUGUGCAAUUCAGUUGUUAAUGCUCCACAACCCCCAGUUUAGUGAAUAAGUCCCAACUGAGUAUAGGGAAUUAUUAAAGUUUACAGACAAAACAAACUGAUACAGUAUUUGAAAGAUUUCGACAUUCUAAAAUGAAUAGAUAAUGCGUGUAAACUAGAACACUUUUGCUUCCAGUCUGAGCUCAUAUGUCUGUGUUACCAUAUACAAGUUGGGAUAUCAUUAAUUGUUUGAGAGCAAAAUCUGAUAGUAUAAACUUCUGCUUCGAGGAGACUGGGCCAAAACAUAGGAAGCAGAAUAAACCUGGCUUUUUCUAAUCAGCCAUACACACUCUCACACAUCUAGACAUCACUCACAUUUAUAAAGAACCAUUUUUCACUAAAAUGUAUUAUUUUUCCUUAUAUGAACCUGAAGUAAUGUUUGUCUGCAGCAUUCUGAUUUAUUAGUGACAGAGCAUCUGGAAGGUGUAAAAUUUUCUCUGAAGCAUAUAAAUAAAGCAGGCUCAUUUCCACCUUAUGGGGGUCAAUCAAGGUGAUCUCCUGAUCUAUAGUAACCAAUACAGAGGCAAGAUUCCCAGUAGCA
Molecule: non-coding RNA, 1503 nt
Organism: Pelobates cultripes (western spadefoot toad)
Lineage: Eukaryota; Metazoa; Chordata; Amphibia; Anura; Pelobatidae
Source: the annotation of a GenBank genome assembly